GUCCCAGUUCGGACUGCAGUCUGCAACUCGACUGCACGAAGCUGGAAUCGCUAGUAAUCGCGAAUCAGAAUGUCGCGGUGAAUACGUUCCCGGGUCUUGUACACACCGCCCGUCACACCAUGGGAGUCGGUAACGCCCGAAGUCAGUGACCCAACCGUAAGGAGGGAGCUGCCGAAGGCGGGACUGGUAACUGGGGUGAAGUCGUAACAAGGUACC
This 216-nucleotide ribosomal RNA is filed under the name uncultured bacterium. Its description in RNAcentral is "partial 16S ribosomal RNA". It matches the Rfam family "Bacterial small subunit ribosomal RNA", at positions 1285 to 1500 of the family's 1533-position model. The record is from RNAcentral.